RNAcentral lists this ribosomal RNA (445 nucleotides) under uncultured bacterium. RNAcentral describes it as "partial 16S ribosomal RNA". It matches the Rfam family "Bacterial small subunit ribosomal RNA", at positions 354 to 796 of the family's 1533-position model. The record is from RNAcentral.
GUGAGGAAUAUUGCGCAAUGGAGGCAACUCUGACGCAGCCAUGCCGCGUGCAGGAAGAAGGCGCUACGCGUUGUAAACUGCUUUUAACCGGGAAGAAACCCCAGGACGUGUCCUGGGUUGACGGUACCGGAGGAAUAAGCACCGGCUAACUUCGUGCCAGCAGCCGCGGUAAUACGAAGGGUGCAAGCGUUAUCCGGAUUCAUUGGGUUUAAAGGGUGCGUAGGCGGAGCGUUAAGUCAGUGGUGAAAUCCUGCAGCUUAACUGUAGACUUGCCAUUGAUACUGGCGCUCUUGAGUGCGCUUGAAGUGGGCGGAAUGUGCUGUGUAGUGGUGAAAUGCUUAGAUAUGGCACAGAACACCAAUUGCGAAGGCAGCUCACUAAGGCGAUACUGACGCUGAGGCACGAAAGCGUGGGGAUCGAACAGGAUUAGAUACCCUGGUAGUCC